GAUGAACGCUGGCGGCGUGCCUAAUACAUGCAAGUCGAGCGAACAGAUGAGGAGCUUGCUCCUCUGACGUUAGCGGCGGACGGGUGAGUAACACGUGGAUAACCUACCUAUAAGACUGGGAUAACUUCGGGAAACCGGAGCUAAUACCGGAUAAUAUAUUGAACCGCAUGGUUCAAUAGUGAAAGACGGUUUUGCUGUCACUUAUAGAUGGAUCCGCGCCGCAUUAGCUAGUUGGUAAGGUAACGGCUUACCAAGGCAACGAUGCGUAGCCGACCUGAGAGGGUGGGCGGCAACACGGGAACGUAAACGGGGCCAAGCCUCAGCGGGAAGGAGGCAGAGGGGAUCCUCCCGCAGGGGGCAAAAGCCUGACGGAGCAGGCCGGCGGGAGUGAGAAAGGUGUUGGGACCGAAAAACUGUUUUAUGAGAGAAAAAAAAAUGGUAAAUUAACUAUGCACGUUUUGACGGUACCUAAUAAAAAGGCCAGGGCUAACUAGGUG
RNAcentral lists this ribosomal RNA (497 nucleotides) under uncultured bacterium. RNAcentral describes it as "partial 16S ribosomal RNA". It matches the Rfam family "Bacterial small subunit ribosomal RNA", at positions 28 to 507 of the family's 1533-position model. The record is from RNAcentral.